This is a long non-coding RNA of Passer domesticus (house sparrow), 950 nucleotides long. RefSeq lists it as uncharacterized. NCBI's taxonomy places the organism in Eukaryota, Metazoa, Chordata, Aves, Passeriformes, Passeridae. The record is from RefSeq and is a predicted model, not a curated record. The transcript is spliced from 2 exons.
CAGCCUGUUGGAGCAGCUGGGACAUUUCCUCCAGGCUCAGGCCUGGCACAUGUGGUGGCUGUCGGUGACAUCCUCAGGGCUGCCUGCGAGACAAACAUCUCAUCCUCGGCACCAGCUGAUUUCCACAUCAUUGUUGGAGGAUGGUCUCUUCAGGACACACCUGAAGCACCUGUCUCCCUGCGGGAGCAGAAGCCACAAAGUUGAAACCCUUCACACACAUAAGACCACUCCAGGAUACACCUCUGUUUGAAAACAGGCAUCAAACACCAGGUACAAACAACCUCUGGCUGUUUACAAAGACUUGGUGUGGGGGACCUGUGGGUACAGCAUUCCCUCAACAAUCCCAAUACACUGGAGAUUUGCCAGAGGGUCCAGGCAGGUGUUGCUCCUCCUGAAGAGGGAAAGAAGGGGUUUGGGUUUGGAAAGUCAGCUGACAGUCAGAUACCUUCAGAUUUAACGACAUUCUCAUUACCAAGGGUCACACUUCCCCUGAUUUAACUGCCCUGGCAAAAUCCUGUCAGUACCACUCCCAUACAGAGUGGAAGAGCAUUUACCCAGUUAAUGGGAGCCAAGGCACAGCUAAAAAGGACAAUGGAAUUAGUACUUAAAUACCAGGCCUAGACUCGGUGGAGCUAUAGAUUAUUUUGUGUACUAAAGAAGAAUUAACUGAUCCAUUCUAAAAUGCAUUUAUUAUUAAAAUAAAAAUCUUCUGUGAUUUUAUUUAAUAGCCUUAGUAAGAAAUAAUUGCAAUGUCUGGUUGCUUUUCAACAACAUGUGGUUUUAAUAUUUUAAUUGUUACAAACUGUUUAAUAAUGAUGAACAAAAGGCGUGUCCAAGUAAUUAUUGUAUUUAUUAACAUUUCUUCUGAGGCCUUGAUAGAUUAUAUUGCAUAUAUACAGCACUUCAGACACUGUACUGCUAACUUAUUAAAGGAGGAAAAUGAGUCAAAA